AAUGGGGGAAACCCUGACGCAGCAACGCCGCGUGAAUGAUGAAGGCCUUAGGGUUGUAAAGUUCUGUCUUCUGGGACGAUAAUGACGGUACCAGAGGAGGAAGCCACGGCUAACUACGUGCCAGCAGCCGCGGUAAUACGUAGGUGGCAAGCGUUGUCCGGAAUUACUGGGCGUAAAGGGCGCGUAGGCGGCCUGUUAAGUCAGAUGUGAAACCCCCAGGCUCAACUUGGGGAUUGCAUAUGAAACUGAUGGGCUCGAGUGUCGGAGAGGAAAGCGGAAGUCCUAGUGUAGCGGUGAAAUGCGUAGAUAUUAGGAGGAACACCAGUGGCGAAGGCGGCUUUCUGGACGAUAACUGACGCUGAGGCGCGAAAGCGUGGGGAGCAAA
This 385-nucleotide ribosomal RNA is filed under the name uncultured bacterium. Its description in RNAcentral is "bacterial SSU rRNA". It matches the Rfam family "Bacterial small subunit ribosomal RNA", at positions 370 to 772 of the family's 1533-position model. The record is from RNAcentral.